RNAcentral lists this transfer RNA (73 nucleotides) under Schistocerca americana (American grasshopper). RNAcentral's name for it is "tRNA-Ala". It matches the Rfam family "tRNA". From Rfam's summary of the family: Transfer RNA (tRNA) molecules are approximately 80 nucleotides in length. Their secondary structure includes four short double-helical elements and three loops (D, anti-codon, and T loops). Lineage: Eukaryota; Metazoa; Arthropoda; Insecta; Orthoptera; Acrididae. The record is from RNAcentral.
UGCUCAGAUGGCUUAGUGGUCAGAGCAUCUGCCUAGCAAGCAGGAGCCCCAGGUUCGAAUCGUGGUCUGGCAC